UCCGUGCAUAGUUUCUAUAACCUUUCUCUUGAUGAUGCAAUCCUCUUCCAAAGAUUUUUCUUGCUUUAUCCAUAGGUCAUCCAUAAUUGGCAACAUUAGUUCUUGGCCUUGGUAUUCAUUUAAUCUACAAGGCUUAAAUAGCUUCAAACUUUUUAGUAUUGACUACUGAGUACACCUCCAUGUAUGGUAACAAAUCAAGCUAGAAGGCAUUCUCUCCUAUCUUCUUCAGAAUUUUGAGAGAACCAUAUAUUACCUUUAGUUUCUUUCCUUCACCCUUCAAUCUAUCCUCCGAGUGGAGGCCGACUAGCUCCUACCCUUGGAAGUUACGCUUUAUGCGAUGCUUAUUAUGUCGGUUCUUAUAAUAUUGCUAUGAUAUAUAUACCUAUGCCUCAAUCUCUUAAUGCAUUUUUUCGAUAUUCUCAAGAAACCUUUAAGCUCAUGCUUGGUCUCCCUCCUCACUACUCUUUGGUGUAGAACCAACUCUAAACUCUAGGUCGAAG
RNAcentral lists this long non-coding RNA (500 nucleotides) under Elaeis guineensis (African oil palm). RNAcentral describes it as "long non-coding RNA (EGUI_LNC058101)". The record is from RNAcentral. Lineage: Eukaryota; Viridiplantae; Streptophyta; Magnoliopsida; Arecales; Arecaceae.